This 369-nucleotide ribosomal RNA is filed under the name uncultured organism. RNAcentral's name for it is "partial 16S ribosomal RNA". It matches the Rfam family "Bacterial small subunit ribosomal RNA", at positions 527 to 896 of the family's 1533-position model. The record is from RNAcentral.
GUAGGGUGCGAGCGUUAAUCGGAAUUACUGGGCGUAAAGCGUGCGCAGGCGGUCUGUUAAGACAGAUGUGAAAUCCCCGGGCUCAACCUGGGAACUGCAUUUGUGACUGGCAGGCUAGAGUAUGGCAGAGGGGGGUAGAAUUCCACGUGUAGCAGUGAAAUGCGUAGAGAUGUGGAGGAAUACCGAUGGCGAAGGCAGCCCCCUGGGCCAAUACUGACGCUCAUGCACGAAAGCGUGGGGAGCAAACAGGAUUAGAUACCCUGGUAGUCCACGCCCCUAAACGAUGUCAACUAGUUGUUGGGGAUUCAUUUCCUUAGUAACGUAGCUAACGCGUGAAGUUGACCGCCUGGGAGUACGGUCGCAAGAUUA